RNAcentral lists this unclassified non-coding RNA (203 nucleotides) under Hevea brasiliensis (rubber tree). The record is from RNAcentral. Lineage: Eukaryota; Viridiplantae; Streptophyta; Magnoliopsida; Malpighiales; Euphorbiaceae.
ACUCCUCUCAGUCCAUCUUCAGUCCAGCAGUUCCAGCACUUUAUUCUUAUUUUAUUUUUUGUUUCUUUUUUUCUUUUAGGUUUGUUAAAUGGUUAGUGUGAUAUGCUUUUUAUUAAAUGGGUUGUAUUUGCCAUGGAUUCUUCUAUAUGUCACCUACUUCUAUAUGCGAAAACCAUUAAUUUAUCAUUCAUGAUAGUGCCAUU